Non-coding RNA from Tinamus guttatus (white-throated tinamou), 153 nucleotides. The record is from RefSeq and is a predicted model, not a curated record. Lineage: Eukaryota; Metazoa; Chordata; Aves; Tinamiformes; Tinamidae.
UCCCCCAGAUCACCCUCAACUUCGUGGACUUCAAGGCGGACGCGUUCCUGGCCGCGCCGUCCAGCGAGAAGGAGAUCAUCGCCCCCACCAAGCUCAAGGACCGCACGCACAACGUCACCGAGAAGGUCACCCAGGUGCUGGCCCUCGGCACUG